GAUGACGCUGGCGGCGUGCCUACACAUGCAGUCCAGCGGUAACGGGUCUUUCGUUGCUCUGGUAGGGGCAGACGGGUGACGAUACAUCGGAGUGUGCCUAACUGUGGGGGAGUCUUCUCCCCGAGUGGCUACGACCGCUUGCACUCUAUGGCCCGGAGCAGGGGACCUUCCGGCCUUGAGAUUUUUUGUUAGCAGAUGACCCAGUAUCGUAUUGGUGAGAUGGGGGGUACCAGGCCAACCAUCACUACCUGGCCUGAGAGGACGAUCAGCAUGACCGGAACUGAAACACCGCCCACACUCCUACGACUCCUACGGGAGGGGAAUUUUGGAAAUAUGGGCACAAUGCCUGAUCCCUCUGAUGCCGCGUGCGCGAUGAAAGCAUCAGAUUGUCAGUGCUUAUACUCGGUAUGAAUGAGAAGAAGUGACAGCAUUGUAUUCGUGUGGUACCACAGACAAUGACGGGCUCACUACUUGCGGCCAGCCGCGGUAAUAA
Molecule: ribosomal RNA, 493 nt
Filed under: uncultured bacterium
Lineage: Bacteria
Description: bacterial SSU rRNA
Source: RNAcentral